AGCAGCCGCGGUAAUUCCAGCUCCAAUAGCGUAUAUUAAAGUUGUUGCAGUUAAAAAGCUCGUAGUUGAAUUUCGGGAUUUAUCCGUCGGUCGGGCUUUUGGGUCUGUACUGGCGUGAUGGAUUCCUACCUUCUGAAUAACCGGCAUGUCAUUUAUUUGGUGCGCUGGGGAAGCAGGACUGUUACCUUGAAAAAUUAGAGUGCUUAAAGCAGGCUAUUGCCUGAAUACAUUAGCAUGGAAUAAUGAAAUAGGACGGCAUGGUUCUAUUUUGUUGGUUUCUAGGAUCACCGUAAUGAUUAAUAGGGAUAGUUGGGGGCAUUAGUAUUCAAUUGUCAGAGGUGAAAUUCUUGGAUUUAUUGAAGACUAACUUCUGCGAAAGCAUUUGCCAAGGAUGUUUUCAUUAAUCAAGAACGAAAGUUAGGGGAUCGAAGACGAUCAGAUACCGUCGUAGUCUUAACCAUAAACUAUGCCGACUAGGGAUCGGACGAUGUUAAUUUUUAAUGACUCGUUCGGCGCCUUA
This 520-nucleotide ribosomal RNA is filed under the name uncultured Acaulospora. Its description in RNAcentral is "SSU rRNA". It matches the Rfam family "Eukaryotic small subunit ribosomal RNA", at positions 569 to 1090 of the family's 1831-position model. The record is from RNAcentral. Lineage: Eukaryota; Fungi; Glomeromycota; Glomeromycetes; Diversisporales; Acaulosporaceae.